GGCGUAGGCGGCUUUUCAAGUCGGAUGUGAAAUCUCCUGGCUUAACCGGGAGGGGUCAUCCGAUACUGUUGAGCUAGAGUGCAGCAGGGGAAGGUGGAAUUCCCGGUGUGGUGGUGAAAUGCGUAGAUAUCGGGAGGAACACCAGUGGCGAAGGCGGCCUUCCAGGCUGUUACUGACGCUGAGGCCCGAAAGUGUGGGGAGCGAACAGGAUUAGAUACCCUGGUAGUCCACACCGUAAACAAUGGACACUAGGUAUAGGGAGUUUCGACCCUCUCUGUGCCGAAGCCAACGCUUUAAGUGUCCCGCCUGGGGACUACGGCCGCAAGGUUAAA
Molecule: ribosomal RNA, 332 nt
Filed under: uncultured bacterium
Lineage: Bacteria
Description: bacterial SSU rRNA
Rfam family: Bacterial small subunit ribosomal RNA
Source: RNAcentral